CCCUGAGAGUCCUGAAGGAACGUUGAAGACGACGACGUUGAUAGGCCGGGUGUGUAAGCGCAGCGAUGCGUUGAGCUAACCGGUACUAAUGAACCGUGAGGCUUAACCUUACAACGCCGAAGCUGUU
This 127-nucleotide ribosomal RNA is filed under the name Escherichia coli. RNAcentral describes it as "partial 23S ribosomal RNA". The stretch from base 1 to 110 matches the Rfam family "Bacterial large subunit ribosomal RNA", at positions 2813 to 2925 of the family's 2925-position model. Lineage: Bacteria; Pseudomonadati; Pseudomonadota; Gammaproteobacteria; Enterobacterales; Enterobacteriaceae. The record is from RNAcentral.